UGGGGAAUAUUGCACAAUGGGCGCAAGCCUGAUGCAGCCAUGCCGCGUGUGUUAAGAAGGCCUUCGGGUUGUAAAGCACUUUCAGCGGGGAGGAAGGUGGUAAGGUUAAUAACCUUGGCAAUUGACGUUACCGACAGAAGAAGCACCGGCUAACUCCGUGCCAGCAGCCGCGGUAAUACGGAGGGUGCAAGCGUUAAUCGGAAUUACUGGGCGUAAAGCGCACGCAGGCGGUUGAUUGAGUCAGAUGUGAAAUCCCCGGGCUUAACCCGGGAAUUGCAUCUGAUACUGGUCAGCUAGAGUCUUGUAGAGUGGGGUAUAAUUCCAUGUGUAGCGGAGAAAUGCGUAGAGAUGUGGAGGAAUACCGGUGGCGAAGGCGGCCCCCUGGACAAAGACUGACGCUCAGGUGCGAAAGCGUGGGGAGCAAACAGG
Molecule: ribosomal RNA, 429 nt
Filed under: Chloroflexota bacterium
Lineage: Bacteria; Bacillati; Chloroflexota
Description: Chloroflexi bacterium partial 16S ribosomal RNA
Rfam family: Bacterial small subunit ribosomal RNA
Source: RNAcentral